RNAcentral lists this transfer RNA (79 nucleotides) under Lancefieldella rimae ATCC 49626. RNAcentral's name for it is "Atopobium rimae ATCC 49626 tRNA-Met". It matches the Rfam family "tRNA". Rfam says of the family: Transfer RNA (tRNA) molecules are approximately 80 nucleotides in length. Their secondary structure includes four short double-helical elements and three loops (D, anti-codon, and T loops). The record is from RNAcentral. Lineage: Bacteria; Bacillati; Actinomycetota; Coriobacteriia; Coriobacteriales; Atopobiaceae.
UGCCGGUGUAGCUCAGCUGGUUAGAGCACGCGGCUCAUACCCGCGAUGUCACUGGUUCGAAUCCAGUCACCGGUACCAG